RNAcentral lists this ribosomal RNA (465 nucleotides) under Vreelandella stevensii. RNAcentral describes it as "partial 16S ribosomal RNA". It matches the Rfam family "Bacterial small subunit ribosomal RNA", at positions 338 to 795 of the family's 1533-position model. The record is from RNAcentral. Lineage: Bacteria; Pseudomonadati; Pseudomonadota; Gammaproteobacteria; Oceanospirillales; Halomonadaceae.
CCUACGGGAGGCAGCAGUGGGGAAUAUUGGACAAUGGGCGAAAGCCUGAUCCAGCCAUGCCGCGUGUGUGAAGAAGGCCUUCGGGUUGUAAAGCACUUUCAGUGGGGAAGAAAGCCUUGGGGCUAAUACCCUCGAGGAAGGACAUCACCCACAGAAGAAGCACCGGCUAACUCCGUGCCAGCAGCCGCGGUAAUACGGAGGGUGCGAGCGUUAAUCGGAAUUACUGGGCGUAAAGCGCGCGUAGGCGGUCUGAUAAGCCGGUUGUGAAAGCCCCGGGCUCAACCUGGGAACGGCAUCCGGAACUGUCAGGCUAGAGUGCAGGAGAGGAAAGUAGAAUUCCCGGUGUAGCGGUGAAAUGCGUAGAGAUCGGGAGGAAUACCAGUGGCGAAGGCGGCCUUCUGGACUGACACUGACGCUGAGGUGCGAAAGCGUGGGUAGCAAACAGGAUUAGAUACCCGAGUAGUC